Molecule: unclassified non-coding RNA, 345 nt
Filed under: soil metagenome
Description: partial contains 5.8S ribosomal RNA, internal transcribed spacer 2, and large subunit ribosomal RNA
Rfam family: 5.8S ribosomal RNA (bases 1-119)
Source: RNAcentral
GAUGAAGAACGCAGCGAAAUGCGAUACGUAAUGUGAAUUGCAAAUUCAGUGAAUCAUCGAGUCUUUGAACGCACAUUGCGCCCCCUGGUAUUCCGGGGGGCAUGCCUGUCCGAGCGUCAUUGCUGCCCUCAAGCACGGCUUGUGUGUUGGGCCCCGUCCUCCGAUCCCGGGGGACGGGCCCGAAAGGCAGCGGCGGCACCGCGUCCGGUCCUCGAGCGUAUGGGGCUUUGUCACCCGCUCUGUAGGCCCGGCCGGCGCUUGCCGAUCAACCCAAAUUUUUAUCCAGGUUGACCUCGGAUCAGGUAGGCAUACCCGCUGAACUUAAGCAUAUCAAUAAGCGGAGGA